RNAcentral lists this ribosomal RNA (790 nucleotides) under uncultured Ascomycota. Its description in RNAcentral is "LSU rRNA". It matches the Rfam family "Eukaryotic large subunit ribosomal RNA", at positions 423 to 1236 of the family's 3401-position model. The record is from RNAcentral. Lineage: Eukaryota; Fungi; Ascomycota.
UUGCAGCCAGACUUGCCCGUAGUUGCUCACCUAGGCUUUUGCCUGGGGCAUUCUUCUGCGGGCAGGCCAGCAUCAGUUUGGGCGGUCGGAUAAAGGUCUCUGUCAUGUAGCUUCCUUCGGGAAGAACUUAUAGGGGAGACGAAAUGCGACCAGCCUGGACUGAGGUCCGCGCUUCUGCUAGGAUGCUGGCGUAAUGGCUGUAAGCGGCCCGUCUUGAAACACGGACCAAGGAGUCUAACAUCUAUGCGAGUGUUUGGGUGUCAAGCCCGAGCGCGUAAUGAAAGUGAACGGAGGUGGGAACCCUUUGGGUGCACCAUCGACCGAUCCUGAUGUCUUCGGAUGGAUUUGAGUAAGAGCAUAGCUGUUGGGACCCGAAAGAUGGUGAACUAUGCUUGAAUAGGGUGAAGCCAGAGGAAACUCUGGUGGAGGCUCGCAGCGGUUCUGACGUGCAAAUCGAUCGUCAAAUUUGGGCAUAGGGGCGAAAGACUAAUCGAACUAUCUAGUAGCUGGUUCCUGCCGAAGUUUCCCUCAGGAUAGCAGUAACGUUUUCAGUUUUAUGAGGUAAAGCGAAUGAUUAGAGGCAUGGGGGUUGAAACAACCUUCACCUAUUCUCAAACUUUAAAUAUGUAAGAAGUCCUUGUUACUUAAUUGAACGUGGACAUUUGAAUGUAUCGUUACUAGUGGGCCAUUUUUGGUAAGCAGAACUGGCGAUGCGGGAUGAACCGAACGCGGGGUUAAGGUGCCAGAAUGCACGCUCAUCAGACACCACAAAAGGUGUUGGUUCAUCUAG